RNAcentral lists this non-coding RNA (25 nucleotides) under Drosophila erecta. RNAcentral also lists the same sequence under 7 other names. The record is from RNAcentral. Lineage: Eukaryota; Metazoa; Arthropoda; Insecta; Diptera; Drosophilidae.
CCGUAGGUGAACCUGCGGAAGGAUC